UGGUAGGUUUCAUCUUUAGUUUGUUUUACCAACCUCCUUAGUUGGAUUUGUUGAACCUCUGGGUAGACAAUGAUUUUCAUAUCUAUAAUUCUGUAUUUACGUACAGCUCUUAAACAAGACGACAGAGUUUGAAGAAGCAGUGAGGAGAGUGUUGACAGAUGUGCGACUGGACAAUGACAUUGUGGUGUCUGUCUUUGAGACCAACAUCCGUGUGCUGGGGUAAGAAAAACCAUAAAGCCAGUUAUUGAGGGGAUGGUAAUGUUUACAUGUUUUAUUUAACCAGGUAAGUCAAUGGAGAAGAACAUUCGUAUUGUGCCGCUAGAGGUGAAAUUCUUGGACCGGCGCAAGACGGACGAAAGCGAAAGCAUUUGCCAAGAAUGUUUUCAUGACACAACA
RNAcentral lists this non-coding RNA (396 nucleotides) under Salmo salar (Atlantic salmon). Its description in RNAcentral is "Eukaryotic small subunit ribosomal RNA". It matches the Rfam family "Eukaryotic small subunit ribosomal RNA", at positions 628 to 982 of the family's 1831-position model. Lineage: Eukaryota; Metazoa; Chordata; Actinopteri; Salmoniformes; Salmonidae. The record is from Rfam by way of RNAcentral.